CCCUUGAUUUUAGUUGCCAGCAUUUAGUUGGGCACUCUAAAGUGACUGCCGGUGCAAGCCGGAGGAAGGUGGGGAUGACGUCAAAUCAUCAUGCCCCUUAUGACCUGGGCUACACACGUGCUACAAUGGAUAGUACAAAGGGUCGCGAAGCCGCGAGGUGGAGCUAAUCCCAUAAAACUAUUCUCAGUUCGGAUUGUAGGCUGCAACUCGCCUACAUGAAGCCGGAAUCGCUAGUAAUCGUGGAUCAGCAUGCCACGGUGAAUACGUUCCCGGGCCUUGUACACACCGCCCGUCACACCACGAGAGUUUGUAACACCCGAAGUCGGUAGGGUAACCUUUAUGGAGCCAGCCGCCGAAGGUGGGACAGAUAAUUGGGGUGAAGUCGUAACAAGGUAGCCGUAUCGGAAGGUGCGGCUGGAUCACCUCCUUUCUAAGGAA
This 438-nucleotide ribosomal RNA is filed under the name Listeria monocytogenes. Its description in RNAcentral is "bacterial SSU rRNA". It matches the Rfam family "Bacterial small subunit ribosomal RNA", at positions 1102 to 1533 of the family's 1533-position model. The record is from RNAcentral. Lineage: Bacteria; Bacillati; Bacillota; Bacilli; Caryophanales; Listeriaceae.